CCAAUAGCGUAUAUUAAAGUUGUUGCAGUUAAAAAGCUCGUAGUUGAACUUCGGGGUUUACUUAUUGGUCAGGCUUAAUUGUCUGUACUGGUGAGAUGAAUCUCUACCUUCUGAGGAACUUUCAUGCCAUUUAUUUGGUGUGAUGGGAAAUCAGGACUGUUACUGUGAAAAAAUUAGAGUGUUUAAAGCAGGCUAACGUCUGAAUACAUUAGCAUGGAAUAAUGAAAUAGGACGGACUGAUUCUAUUUCGUUGGUUUCUAGGAUCACCGUAAUGAUUAAUAGGGAUAGUUGGGGGCAUUAGUAUUCAAUUGUCAGAGGUGAAAUUCUUGGAUUUAUUGAAGACUAACUACUGCGAAAGCAUUUGCCAAGGAUGUUUUCAUUAAUCAAGAACGAAAGUUAGGGGAUCGAAGACGAUCAGAUACCGUCGUAGUCUUAACCAUAAACUAUGCCGACUAGGGAUCGGACGAAGUUAAUUUUAUAAUGACGCGUUCGGCACCUUACG
This 502-nucleotide ribosomal RNA is filed under the name uncultured Glomeromycotina. Its description in RNAcentral is "partial small subunit ribosomal RNA". It matches the Rfam family "Eukaryotic small subunit ribosomal RNA", at positions 591 to 1092 of the family's 1831-position model. Lineage: Eukaryota; Fungi; Glomeromycota. The record is from RNAcentral.